Molecule: ribosomal RNA, 253 nt
Filed under: uncultured bacterium
Lineage: Bacteria
Description: partial 16S ribosomal RNA
Rfam family: Bacterial small subunit ribosomal RNA
Source: RNAcentral
UACGGAGGGUGCGAGCGUUGUCCGGAAUCACUGGGCGUAAAGGGCGCGUAGGUGGCGAGGCAAGCGUGCGGUGAAAGCUCGGGGCUCAACCCCGAGUCGGCCGUGCGAACUGCUUUGCUUGAGCACUGUAGAGGCAGAUGGAAUUCCGGGUGUAGCGGUGGAAUGCGUAGAGAUCCGGAAGAACACCGGUGGCGAAGGCGGUCUGCUGGGCAGUUGCUGACACUGAGGCGCGACAGCGUGGGGAGCAAACGGG